UACCAUAUCGAAAAAAUAGAUUGUCUAUAAAGAAUAUUACAAUCUACUAUUCACUGAUCAUACAUAUAUAUGUAAAUUUCUUCUGAACACAUGUGAACAAUAAUAUCCAAUUCUAAAAGUAAUUAAAAUAAAAAAAAUGGCUCGAGUCUUAGUUUAUAACCGUUCUGUUGAUGCAAUAUUUAUGGACGUAAACUUGGGAGUCAAGACAAAUCUUUCUGAACAUGGAACAAUAAUAAUAAAAGAAGAACCGAUCGAGAACGACAGCUAUGACGAUUUAUGGUUGAAUGAAAUUAAUGCCGAGAAUGAAAACGAAACAUCAAGAUCUGAAGAUUAUGAAAGCGAAGAAAGCAUAACUGAAGAUAAUAAAAUCGAAGAUAACAAAACUGCGAAUGAUAACAUUGAAGAUGAAGUUUCGAAUGCUAAUUAUGAAUAUAAAAAAUUUGUGCCUCCUCAAAAAUUCAAUCCCUUAAAAAAUAAUACAUCGAACGCUCGAUUUAUAACUUGCAAUAUUUGUUUCGUGACAUUUAACAAGCAAAGUUAUACUCGCCAUGUGCGUAGAUACUGUAACGGUGACUAUAAAUGUCAAAAAUGUAAGGCGAUCUUCAAUACUUAUCAUUCGAUCAAACGUCAUUUGAGGAUAAAGGGUUGUAAGAAAAAAAUUACAAAUUACAGAUUUCUUUGUAAUUUUUGUCGUCGAGGGUUUUGGAGAAAGGCCUAUAUCCAAUGCCAUUUACUUCAUGCGCAUGGAAAUGAAAUAAAUAAUAUCGAUAAAAUUCAAAUUGGAGAAAUUUUCAAAUCGUCAGAAAGGUCAACAAAUGAUCUUGGAGAUGUACUGAUCGUGGAAAAGAUAAACAGUUCAAAUAACGUAUUGUUUCCAAAACAGUUAAACAAUUUGACAGAUACGUCUAAAAAAGAGUUGAACAGUACUUCCCCCAAAUUGAACGGUUUAAAUUGUACGCAUUUGAAAAGUCAAUGCGAUACAGUUUCGAAAAAGCCGAGAAGUUUAAGUAGUUCGAGCCAGUUAAAUUAUUCAUGCGAUACACCCUCUAAAAAGAUGAAGCAAACCACUCUUACAGAUUUUAUUUCGUUUUAUAAAGAAAAAUCGAACAACGAUGACGUCAUUAUAGAGAAAGUCAUUGGUAUAAACAAUAAUUCUGUUAUUGAUGACACGAGUGAAUCACAUAAGAAAUUUGGUGAUAACUCUUUGUUGAGGAAUACAGAAAAUGUUCAAGCGCACAAGCGUACCCGAUCUCGUGCGCUUGACAAGAAUAAACCAUUUGUUCAGAUUCAUGUGAAUCCCCGCACUAUGAUGCUCUUAUUGAACAAUGAAAUAAAAAGUGAUCUUGAGAGUCUGGAAACUUCGUAUAAUAUACCCUACAAUCUUAGACCAUCCGGAGAAAAUACCUAUGCAUUACGUAAAUUUCGCGAUUCAAUGAAGCAUGACACUGCUUCUAACAAAGCGAAACGUCCCAUUAAAAGAAAAUAUCCCUGCAAUGUAUCUACGCGAAGAAUGUCUUUACGAAAUAAAAGUUUCAAAUCUGAAAUCGUAAUUAAAGAGUGCAAGAUCUAUCUGGAAAAAUGUGAUGAGAUGUUGAAACGGAGCAAGAUUAAAUCGGAUAAAGUCGAAAAUGUUUCUCAAUCUAUAGACUUGAAAGAAGAGAGAGAAAUAAAAACGGAAAAGGUUGAGAAUUCUAUUAAAACUGAAUCGGCAAGUGAUCUAUCUUUGAAGCUUACGUCAGAGAUAUUCAAAGCCGGAGCGAAUAAUUUAUCGAUUGCUAAAAAAGAGUCAAAUGUGUCAGAAAGUAAGAUAUCCCAAAGAUCGUUCCAAUGCCAUGUUUGCAAAAAAUUAUUCUCGUUAAAAGAGAAUUUGUACGAGCAUAUGAAAUUGUUUCACUCGAUUUACAUGUCGAGUAUAUGUAACGCACGCUAUACAUCCAUUAAUAAAUUAUUGAAACAUUAUUUGCGUCAACAUAUCAUGUUUAAGCGAAAAGAAUGUUGCGUGUGUUACGAGAAAUUCGACACACCGGUAUCGUUGAAACGACACAUGAUUGUGCAUUGUUUGAAAACCAUACGAUCCAAGAAAGACACUCUACCGGUUGACGUCGAGAUAAACUGCAGUUCAUCGAAGAAAGAAAAUAAGUGCAAAGGUUGUCACAAACGAUUUUGGCUCAAUUCGUGUUUGAAAGAACACGAGAAGGUGUGUCGUCGAAUGAAAGAUCUGAUCUGUAAACAACGUAGGCUUCAAGUAAAACGCUCUUUUUCGUUUCGAAAAGAAUCGAUUGGCUCGAAAUUUAAUGCGAUACAAGCAAUUUCUUCGAAACAAGUAUCAUCAGAGCAGAAAAUGAAGCCGAUAAAUUCGAUCACUAAGACUUAUAGUUCACCUCAUGUUCUGCCAUCUGUCUCACCCUCCUACUCUACCACAGCAGCAAGCAAAAAGAGAUUAGUUAACGGUGUCGCUUGGGUGAAGGGUUACAGAGUUGAGACAAGUGAUAAAACGACAUUUCCCUGCACCAUUUGCGGGAUACAAUUUCAGACGUUUCAGAAUUUGUGUAUGCACGAGCGUACCUAUUCCAAACCUGCCAAUAAAUCGUGCAGCGAUUGCGGUACCUUGUUUCCCUCCAAAAGAUUGUUACAACUUCACUCACUCGCGACCCAUUCGCCUUCUUGCGCGGAAAAUUAUCAAUUCUUUUGCAAGUUUUGCAAUCAAGGUUUCGUUAAAAAAACAAACAUUCGGAUUCACGAGCGACACUUUCACAUGGACCAAGUUCCCAAACCCGUUCGAGUCAACGAGUCCAUUUGGAAUUCGUAUCCGAUGUGUACCACAUGUAAUUUGUUAUUUGAAUCGUACGAGCGAUUUAUCGAGCAUAAUAUGUAUUACUAUAAUGACCAAAUGUUUGUGUGCACCGUAUGUGGUAAAUCGUUUCAGGGAAUGUACAAGCUUCACCACCAUAACAAGGUGGAACAUUAUCCGAACGACGUAUUGAAAUUGUACGCUUACAAAUGUGAUAUUUGUAGCGAAGGUUUCAAUUACGAGUCGCAUUUUCACGCGCACAAGUUGCAUGUUCAUCUACCCGAUGCGCCGAUUAUACAGAAAACACUAAAUAUCAUGCAAGACCACAGUUACGCUUUGACGAAUAACGUUGGCAUAAGGACCAAAGUGACGGAAGAACCGAUAAUAUUGUCAGCAAAGACGUAUACUUGCAAUGUUUGCAAAUUAAAUUUCACCAACGAAGAAGAUUUGUCGAUGCACAAGAUAGAAUACUCCACGAACGGUAAAUUUCAAUGUAGCAAGUGCAAUCGAAAAUGUGGUACCAGUUCUUUCCUAGCCAAGCAUGAUAGUUUGAAUCAUACCGGUUGUGACAUUAACAUCAGUUUCAAGUGUCGCUUUUGUGGUGAGGUGUUGACAACUAGUACAGCGAUGUUGUGUCACGAGAAGCACUUUCAUUUAAAUUGCAGCAGUGAUCUCAAAGACAGACAACCAGUUCAAUCAGUUAUGAAUAAGAAGAUUGAUAGCAAAAUUGUUAAACUUGAAAAGUGUGAUGGUUUUACGUGUUCGACUUGUAACAUGAAGUUUCACAACAACAUCAAUUUGAAGCAACAUUUGUUGGAAUAUGCCGAUAUAGGUACAUUCAUUUGCAACAUUUGCCAAAGAAAAUUCACCGAGGUGGAACAGUUAGAGGUGCACAAAAUCAAACAUACUAUGUUGAGCAAUACUUUGCUGUCGCAACGGUGUCCUAUAUGCAACGAAGGAUUUUCGGAUCCUGUGAAUGUUCGGUCACACGUAAUGCACUUACAUCGAUACGAAACGUUCAAUUUUAAUAUGGAGCAUAUAGGGACAAAAUGACGAAUUAGAAAGAGGGCAACACUGUGUUGUACAUGCUAGCUUAGGAUCUAAAUCUAAAAGUUCUAAUUGACGAUUGAAUUCAAAUGGAUCGCUUCACUUCUUCCUUCAUUCCUUGCGCUUGAAACGUGGCAAAGCCUAGUUUUAAAUGAUAUGGAAAUGUAUAAAUUCAUUAUUUAAUAUUGAAAUCCAAAUAUACUGCUCGUGUUCACGGAAUCGAUAGUAUCAGAUUUACUUUUCAUAGAACAUAUGAUGAUGAAUCAAUUCUGUCAUGUCAUCGAGAACAGAUUUCGCAUAUGAGUGAUAAAAAAGUGAACAAAGUGAAGGAAUUCAAAAUAUAAUAUAAUGUAUUGUUUGUUGGUUAUGCACUUAAAGAUUGUUACAAAUUUAAAAUGAUUUUAAUAAUUUUCGAGUAAUUAUGAUUUUGUUAUGAUAUUGUAUGUAUAUAAAUUUUAAAGUAAAACUUUUGACAGUUUACUUUUUUAUAGUGGACAUUGCAUUGAAAGUGAAAUUUAUUUUCGAAUAUUGAAUCUCAAUUGCAGAUUCCACUAUUGAAAACACUCUUAAGAGUUUUACUCUUAAAUGUUAAUACUUUCAGAUAUUCUGUUAAAUUAAAAGA
This 4460-nucleotide unclassified non-coding RNA is filed under the name Apis dorsata (giant honeybee). RNAcentral's name for it is "zinc finger protein 234-like, transcript variant X2". The record is from RNAcentral. Lineage: Eukaryota; Metazoa; Arthropoda; Insecta; Hymenoptera; Apidae.